Molecule: unclassified non-coding RNA, 771 nt
Filed under: uncultured Pythium
Lineage: Eukaryota; Oomycota; Peronosporomycetes; Pythiales
Description: partial contains ITS2, and 28S rRNA
Rfam family: Eukaryotic large subunit ribosomal RNA (bases 417-771)
Source: RNAcentral
AGAGAGAUGGCAGAAUGUGAGGUGUCUCGCUGGCUCCCUCUUCGGAGGAGAAGAUGCGAGUCCCUUUAAACGUACGUUCGCUCUUUCUUGUGUUUAAGAUGAAGUGUGGUUCUCGAACGCAGUGAUCUGUUUGGAUCGCUUUGCGCUAGUGGGCGACUUCGGUUAGGACAUUAAAAGAAAGCAACCUCUAUUGGCGGUAUGUUAGGCUUCGGCCCGACUUUGCAGCUGACGGUGUGUGGUUUUCUGUUCUUUCCUUGAGGUGUACCUGUUUUAGUGUGAGGCAAUGGUCUGAGCAAAUGGUUAUUGUGUAGUAGAGAGUCACUGCUCUUGAGCGCUCUGUUUCACGGCAGGGUAAAGAAGGCUUACACCAAUUUGGGACUGCUGGUGGUAUUCGUAUCACUGGCGCUUUUUCAAUUGGACCUGAUAUCAGGCAAGAUUACCCGCUGAACUUAAGCAUAUUAAUAAGCGGAGGAAAAGAAACUAACAAGGAUUCCCCUAGUAACGGCGAGUGAAGCGGGAUGAGCUCAAGCUUAAAAUCUCUGUGCCAGUUUGGCAUGGCGAAUUGUAGUCUAUGGAGGCGCUGUCAGUGCGACUAUGCGGGUUAAGUUCCUUGGAAGAGGACAGCAUCGAGGGUGAUACUCCCGUAUGUACCUGUGUAGUUGCGCGUACGACACGUUUUCUUUGAGUCGUGUUGUUUGGGAAUGCAGCACAAAGUAGGUGGUAAAUUCCAUCUAAAGCUAAAUAUUGGUGCGAGACCGAUAGCGAACAAGU